GGUGACUGCGUACCUUUUGUAUAAUGGGUCAGCGACUUAUAUUUUGUAGCGAGGUUAACCGAAUAGGGGAGCCGAAGGGAAACCGAGUCUUAACUGGGCGAAUAGUUGCAAGGUAUAGACCCGAAACCCGGUGAUCUAGCCAUGGGCAGGUUGAAGGUUGGGUAACACUAACUGGAGGACCGAACCGACUAAUGUUGAAAAAUUAGCGGAUGACUUGUGGCUGGGGGUGAAAGGCCAAUCAAACCGGGAGAUAGCUGGUUCUCCCCGAAAUCUAUUUAGGUAGAGCCUUGAGGUGACACCUUUGGGGGUAGAGCACUGUUUCGGCUAGGGGUCCAUCCCGGAUUACCAACCCGAUGCAAACUACGAAUACCAAAGAGUGAUACUCAGGAGACACACGGCGGGUGCUAACGUCCGUCGUGGAGAGGGAAACAACCCAGACCGCCAGCUAAGGUCCCCAAGUCUAUAUUAAGUGGGAAACGAAGUGGGAAGGCUUAGACAGCUAGGAUGUUGGCUUAGAAGCAGCCAUCAUUUAAAGAAAGCGUAAUAGCUCACUAGUCGAGUCGGCCUGCGCGGAAGAUGUAACGGGGCUGAAAUAUAGCACCGAAGCUGCGGCAUCAGGCGUAUCACUAAUACGCCUUACGAUUAACAAGCUAGAAUGGCGCGAAGCGGCAUGAAAGGUUGUUCAAGCAACCCGAACGUUGAGUCGGGGUAUUUUUGAAGUAAGGAUUAUUAGUGAUACGCCUGUUGGGUAGGGGAGCGUUGUGUAAGCGGAUGAAGGUUAAUCGAGAGGUUAGCUGGACGUAUCACAAGUGCGAAUGCUGACAUAAGUAACGAUAAAACGGGUGAAAAACCCGUUCGCCGGAAGACCAAGGGUUCCUGUCCAACGUUAAUCGGGGCAGGGUGAGUCGGCUCCUAAGGCGAGGCUGAAAAGCGUAGUCGAUGGGAAACAGGUUAAUAUUCCUGUACUUGGUAAAGCUGCGAUGUGGGGACGGAGUAGGUUAGGUUAUCGCACUGUUGGAUAUGUGCGUUUAAGUUGGUAGGUGGGAAGUUUAGGCAAAUCCGGACUUCCUUAACACAGAGAGAUGAUGACGAGGCUCUACGGAGCUGAAGUAACUGAUACCACACUUCCAGGAAAAGCCACUAAGCGAAAGGCUUUACUAAACCGUACUGAAAACCGACACAGGUGGUCAGGUAGAGAAUACUCAGGCGCUUGAGAGAACUCGGGUGAAGGAACUAGGCAAAAUAGCACCGUAACUUCGGGAGAAGGUGCGCCGGCGUAGAUUGUAGUCCCUAGCGGGCGAAGGUUGAACCGGUCGAAGAUACCAGCUGGCUGCAACUGUUUAUUAAAAACACAGCACUCUGCAAACACGAAAGUGGAGGUAUAGGGUGUGAUGCCUGCCCGGUGCUGGAAGGUUAAUUGAUGGUGUCAUCGCAAGAGAAGCACCUGAUCGAAGCCCCAGUAAACGGCGGCCGUAACUAUAACGGUCCUAAGGUAGCGAAAUUCCUUGUCGGGUAAGUUCCGACCUGCACGAAUGGCAUAAUGAUGGCCAGGCUGUCUCCACCCGAGACUCAGUGAAAUUGAAAUCGCCGUGAAGAUGCGGUGUACCCGCGGCUAGACGGAAAGACCCCGUGAACCUUUACUAUAGCUUGACACUGAACAUUGAAUUUUGAUGUGUAGGAUAGGUGGGAGCCUUUGAAGCAGUGACGCCAGUCAUUGUGGAGGCGACCUUGAAAUACCACCCUUUAACGUUUGAUGUUCUAACGAAGAUGACGAAACGUGGUCUCGGACAGUGUCUGGUGGGUAGUUUGACUGGGGCGGUCUCCUCCCAAAGCGUAACGGAGGAGCACGAAGGUUUGCUAAUCACGGUCGGACAUCGUGAGGUUAGUGCAAUGGUAUAAGCAAGCUUAACUGCGAGACAGACAAGUCGAGCAGGUACGAAAGUAGGUCAUAGUGAUCCGGUGGUUCUGAAUGGAAGGGCCAUCGCUCAACGGAUAAAAGGUACUCCGGGGAUAACAGGCUGAUACCGCCCAAGAGUUCAUAUCGACGGCGGUGUUUGGCACCUCGAUGUCGGCUCAUCACAUCCUGGGGCUGAAGUAGGUCCCAAGGGUAUGGCUGUUCGCCAUUUAAAGUGGUACGCGAGCUGGGUUUAGAACGUCGUGAGACAGUUCGGUCCCUAUCUGCCGUGGGCG
Molecule: ribosomal RNA, 2190 nt
Filed under: Haemophilus influenzae
Lineage: Bacteria; Pseudomonadati; Pseudomonadota; Gammaproteobacteria; Pasteurellales; Pasteurellaceae
Description: bacterial LSU rRNA
Rfam family: Bacterial large subunit ribosomal RNA
Source: RNAcentral